GGCGCAGUGGCGGAGUGGUUAUCGCGUAUGACUCGAAUUUGAACGAUAUCAUAUUCCUUCGGGAGCACAGGUUCGAAUCCUGUCUGCGUCG
Lineolata rhizophorae is the source of this 91-nucleotide non-coding RNA. The record is from the annotation of a GenBank genome assembly. Lineage: Eukaryota; Fungi; Ascomycota; Dothideomycetes; Lineolatales; Lineolataceae.